CUCGUAGGCGGUUCGUCGCGUCCGGUGUGAAAGUCCAUCGCCUAACGGUGGAUCUGCGCCGGGUACGGGCGGGCUGGAGUGCGGUAGGGGAGGACUGGAAUUCCCGGUGUAACGGUGGAAUGUGUAGAUAUCGGGAAGAACACCAAUGGCGAAGGCAGGUCUCUGGGCCGUUACUGACGCUGAGGAGCGAAAGCGUGGGGAGCGAACAAG
Molecule: ribosomal RNA, 210 nt
Filed under: uncultured bacterium
Lineage: Bacteria
Description: partial 16S ribosomal RNA
Rfam family: Bacterial small subunit ribosomal RNA
Source: RNAcentral